UUGUGGCUGGAAGCUGUGUCCUUGGUGUCU
Molecule: non-coding RNA, 30 nt
Filed under: Homo sapiens (human)
Lineage: Eukaryota; Metazoa; Chordata; Mammalia; Primates; Hominidae
Source: RNAcentral